This 22-nucleotide non-coding RNA is filed under the name Rattus norvegicus (Norway rat). Lineage: Eukaryota; Metazoa; Chordata; Mammalia; Rodentia; Muridae. The record is from RNAcentral.
AUCCUGAGAGUGCUGACCGUGU